UACGUAGGGGGCAAGCGUUGUCCGGACUUACUGGGCGUAAAGCGCGUGCAGGCGGGCCGCUAUGUGCCGUGUGAAAGCUCUCAGCUUAUCUGGGAGAGGUCGCGGUAGACAGGCAGCCUGGAGGCUCGGAGAGGUCAGUGGAAUUCUCGGUGUAGUGGUGAAAUACGUAGAGAUUGGGAAGAACACCAGUGGCGAAGGCGGCUAUCUGGACGGUUUCUGACGCUAAGACGCGAAAGCGUGGGGAGCAAACAGG
RNAcentral lists this ribosomal RNA (253 nucleotides) under uncultured bacterium. RNAcentral describes it as "partial 16S ribosomal RNA". It matches the Rfam family "Bacterial small subunit ribosomal RNA", at positions 524 to 776 of the family's 1533-position model. The record is from RNAcentral.